Molecule: transfer RNA, 78 nt
Filed under: Podarcis lilfordi (Lilford's wall lizard)
Lineage: Eukaryota; Metazoa; Chordata; Lepidosauria; Squamata; Lacertidae
Description: tRNA.Lys
Rfam family: tRNA (bases 10-67)
About the family: Transfer RNA (tRNA) molecules are approximately 80 nucleotides in length. Their secondary structure includes four short double-helical elements and three loops (D, anti-codon, and T loops). Further hydrogen bonds mediate the characteristic L-shaped molecular structure. tRNAs have two regions of fundamental functional importance: the anti-codon, which is responsible for specific mRNA codon recognition, and the 3' end, to which the tRNAs corresponding amino acid is attached (by aminoacyl-tRNA synthetases). tRNAs cope with the degeneracy of the genetic code in two manners: having more than one tRNA (with a specific anti-codon) for a particular amino acid; and 'wobble' base-pairing, i.e. permitting non-standard base-pairing at the 3rd anti-codon position.
Source: RNAcentral
UUACGGGAAUAGCUCAGUCAGUAGAGCAUGAGACUCUUAAUCUCAGGGUUGUGGGUUUGAGCCCCACGCUGGGCAAAA